RNAcentral lists this ribosomal RNA (253 nucleotides) under uncultured bacterium. RNAcentral describes it as "partial 16S ribosomal RNA". It matches the Rfam family "Bacterial small subunit ribosomal RNA", at positions 524 to 776 of the family's 1533-position model. The record is from RNAcentral.
UACGAAGGGGGCUAGCGUUGUUCGGAAUUACUGGGCGUAAAGCGCACGUAGGCGGAUAUUUAAGUCAGGGGUGAAAUCCCGGGGCUCAACCCCGGAACUGCCUUUGAUACUGGGUAUCUCGAGUCCGAGAGAGGUGAGUGGAAUUCCGAGUGUAGAGGUGAAAUUCGUAGAUAUCGAGAGGAACACCUGCGGCGAAGGCGGGUAGCUGGGCCGACACUGACGCUGAGGCGCGAAAGCCAGGGGAGCGAACGGG